This is a long non-coding RNA of Phocoena sinus (vaquita), 2989 nucleotides long. The record is from Ensembl. NCBI's taxonomy places the organism in Eukaryota, Metazoa, Chordata, Mammalia, Artiodactyla, Phocoenidae.
GACUUCCCUCGAGGCGGCGGCGGAAGCCCCCGAAACCUCCGGUGCUUGUUCACGCACUUCCAGGGACUGGCAGCACAUCACCAUCACCUCUUGAGAACAUUAUUCACAAUAGCCAAGAUAUGGAAACAACCUAAGGCCCACCAACAGAUGAAUUGUUAAGAAGUUGUGGUAUAAUACACACAAAUGGAAUAUUAUUAAGUCAUGACAAAGAAGGACAUCUUGUCAUUUGUGAUAACCUAGAUGAAUCUUGAGGACAUUAUGCUAAGUGAGGAUUGAAAUGGAAAACUGGAAAAGUUGAUUAAUUUAUGCUCACAAAACCAAGUCGAAAAUCCAGGGCAGCUAUGACAAGGUUGAAGUUCAUCCAUCAGAAGUGAAUGAAACAGAGGGGUCAACCUCCCUAAUCAUUUUGAUCGCCAGGAUAAUGAUGACUGACCAAUUAGACUAGUCAUUGAUAUCCAGCAUAAAGAUGGCCAUAACAGAUGUGAUCAUCCCCACUACAGAUAAUUUAAUGGAAAACAACAACCAUUAAUAACACACGACUGGAAGUAGGGAAACCUGGAUUUAGACUCCUGCCAAUGACAAGGAAUAUGAUCUAAAGUUAAUCACUCAAUCUUUCUGAGCCCUAGUUUCCACUUCUGUGAAAUUGUGGUUGGGAGUAAAUGACUUUCAUGUUUCUUAUUUGGCAUCAUUGCUGAUUCCUCUUCCAGCCAUGCCUUCAAGUGAUGGAGCUGAGGGUUUUCAUACUGGUAGAGAUGUCAGUUUGGAGCUGCUGGUAGCCAUCUUGGUAUCAUAAGGGGAGAAUCUACCUGAAAGAAAAACCAACAAAGAGAAAAAGUAGAGCUAUGAGUUGGAAAGACAGAGAGAUGUUACACACCAGAGGCCUUACCUGAAACUUGAACACUGGGGAGAGGCUGUUCCAAACAAAACUACCAAAGCUCAGAGCCAGAGAUGCCCUGGUGACAACGGCUUUUAAAUCCAGUCGAAACGGAGAGCUGCAUAAAGCAGCAGAAGGGUCAGCUGCAAGAGGUGCCCUGCCUCUCAGCACAGGGUAACCAGAUUCCCUGCUGUACUUGGGGAGAGACACCAGGAGCACUACCUUCAGCCAGUUUCCUUGAAUCUUCUGGGACAGAUGACCAGCUCUUGGAGCCGGAAGAAGAGAAGGGGUGUCUUUCAGAAAGAGGAGUGCCUCUCCCGUAAGCAAAGCUAGCAGAAGAGCUGGCUCAGAUACUCACUAUCCUCUUCUAUAAAUGAGGAAAUUGAGGCUUAGAGAAGUUAAGUAACUCGCUCAAGGAUACACAAAGUCAGGAUUCAGGACCAAGGUAAGGACUGUUUGGCUUCAAAGUCUCAGCUCCUACUGGGUUAAACUACCUUUGUGUCCCUAAGUUAUUCCGAAAUGCCUUUUGUGUCAGUAAGGAACGUGUCUUUUCUUAACAGCUCUUGUAAUUUCCAUCCAUGUGGCACGUGUUUAAUCACAUUUGAAAAUAAGCAAAUGGGGACUUAUUCCUACUGAUUACCACUGUCAUGGGCGAAAAAAUAUCCAUCCGCCUCAUCCUACUUGACUCAUAGGCUAAACACGGUUCUGGGACCCAAUUCCACUGUAUGGAGGAGUCUCACCGCACAGCACCAGACCAUUCUCAGACACUAGUGAGGUGUCCAGCAACUCAGCUCGGUUCUCGUACUGUCUCUCGGGGCACAGCUGCAGAUUCCACCGGCCGAGGGCUCAGUCCUACAGGACGCCCCACCCCCACCCCCCUCCUGCCCACUUCAGAUGCCAGUUGCAAGCCCAGGUUAUCAUGUUUGCUUCUGACCUACCAGCUAUAGAUUAGAGUUGACCCCAUCUCCUGCUUUGGGUUUGAUUAAUUUGCUAAAGUGGCUCACAGAACUCAGAGAAACAUUUUACUUAAUAGAUUCUGUGUUUAUUAUAAAAGAAUAUAACUCAGGAACAGCCAGAUGAAAGAGGUACACAGGGUUAGGGGCAGAGAAAGGGUGAAGAACAUCCAUGCCCUCUCCAAGGCUGCCAGUCUUCCCAAAUCUCCACGUGUUCACCAAUCCAUAAGCUCUCCGAACUCUGGAUUCAUUAUAUAGGCAUGAUUAAUUAAAUUAUGAUUAAUUGAUUAAUUAUGAUUGAUUAAUUGAUUGAAAUCAACCUCCAGCUCCUUGUCCCUCCCCAGAAAUCACGGGUGGGACUGGAAGUUCAAACCGUCUAAUCACAUGAUUGGUUGUCCUGGCAACCAGCCCCCAUCCUUUUGUGCCAUCCAAAUGUCACCUCACUGACAAAACAAAAGACACCUUUAUCUCUCUCAGCACUUAGGGAAUUCCAAAGGUUUUGGGAGCUCUGUGCCAGGAACUGGGGACAAAAUCAAAUAUACAUUUCUUAUUGUAAAUUACAGUAUCACACAUCCAGCAGUAAGAUAAGCCAUUCAGCAGCCCUGCUACCUGAAGCUAGAGCUAGAGUGGCUUGAAUCGCCAUGUCCUAAAAUAUAGUGUAUUAAUGAAAAUUUUAAGGUAUAGGAAGGUCAACAGAUCAGAAGAUGAUCACCAUUGAAAAGGUAGUUUGUUACAGUUCCCAAGAGGAGGAGACAUGCCACGCCUUGGGGGACCACACUGGGAAGCAGCAGGGUCAGUCAGGAGGCAGGGGGAGAGGGAGCAACCUUGGGCAAAAGCCUUUUUUGUGGUUCCCACGGAAGGAACAGGUGAGGCAGGGGAAACAGGCUUGGGACUGGCUAGUUGAGUAAUCGUAGCAGGCGCUGGGCUAUAGGGGCUGUCCCUAGUUGUCUGGUACAUGGCCCUGGAGUGAUUAGGGCAGGUGGAUAAUGGCCCGCAGUAUGAGAACUUGAUAAAGGAGGUGGUUGGAGUGUGAGCUCCAGAUUUGCUGGUUUGUAUUUGAAAAAUCGCAGGUGGGCAAGUUGUUUACUAUCUCUAGGAACUGGCUAACCCUGGGAGGUGGUGUUCCGUGAGGGUCAGCAAGACCCCAAGACGUCAAAACAUC